This is a small nucleolar RNA of Anolis carolinensis (green anole), 135 nucleotides long. Its record names the gene SNORA70. It matches the Rfam family "Small nucleolar RNA SNORA70". From Rfam's summary of the family: snoRNA U70 seems to be exclusive to mammals and is a member of the H/ACA class of snoRNA which contain H (ANANNA) and ACA box motifs. H/ACA box snoRNAs are involved in the conversion of uridines to pseudouridines (5-ribosyluracil) a constituent of structural RNAs (transfer, ribosomal, small nuclear, and small nucleolar). Lineage: Eukaryota; Metazoa; Chordata; Lepidosauria; Squamata; Anolidae. The record is from Ensembl.
CUGCAGUCAAUUAAGCCGACCAGCCCCUGUUGCUAUCAGUGGAUGGUGUGCAAUGACUGCACACAGCAAACUCCCUUGGUUGUGUACGUGCUCCGUUCCUUGUACAGAGUACCUUAAGGGACCUUGGGAACACCU